AUGCCAUUUCUGAAGAGAACUGGAAAAAAAAAAAGAGGGGAUAAAACCAAAACCAGACUCAUAUUUUUGGUUAUUUGUGGCUUCAGGCUAUUUUUAAAGAAACUGCCUUUGAAUUCCCCGUGGUAUUUUUAUUUUCUGUUCUUUUUGUCUUCCAGAGGCCAACUCAGGGUUUGCUGGAUUCUGGAAAAUCCAGGGGAUUUUGAAAAAGAAAAUCUGUGGUGGUUUAUCACUAAAACGGAACCAUACAGGCUGAUCUUUUAUACCCAGAUGAUGCUGGCAACCCCCUCCCAGCCAGGAAUAUACUUCCAGUUGGAAAGUUCUUUGAUUCUAAGCAGUCUACAAUGACCUGUUUUCGAAAAAUCAGAUUUUCAGCUAAACACCAGCUCCCCUCACUGAUGGCUUUUCAGGCUAUAUUAGCACUUCCAGAAGACUUUGCCAUCCACAGAAGAUGAGUUACCCAAGAGCCAUGAUGAAUCUCUAUAUCACAAACUCACAGGCUGUCUUGAUCCAUCAUCAGAGAGGACCUGGAGCUGGCCAGCACCCUCCCAGGUUCUGGAGCUCAAUGCAGAGGACUCGUUCCAGGUCUACCUCUCAUCCUUUCAGGGAAUAAGCCUUGCUCUUGGAGGUAAUGCCCUGUGCUCCCAUUUUCCCAUCAACUGAGCAACAUUACCAGGUGCACCUUCCCCAGGACUCCUGCUCCAACAUUCACAAAAGUUUUCUAUCAUCUUCUCUGACCAAGAAGCUCUGGCCUAGUGCCAAGAUCUCUCACAGUCUGAGCACCCUAGGCUCAUCCAUCUUUUUUUAUUUUUAUUUUUCUUUGUCUUGUGCCAUCGUUUGGUGUCCUGGAGCCCUUCCCCAGGAAGGUUGGAGGAAUACUGGGUUACUCUGUACGGAGCAAAUGUGUGAAUAAAUAAAGCCUUAGAUCUGUGCUUGGGUUCUGA
RNAcentral lists this long non-coding RNA (941 nucleotides) under Piliocolobus tephrosceles (Ugandan red Colobus). Its description in RNAcentral is "lncRNA (ENSPTEG00000021605.1)". Lineage: Eukaryota; Metazoa; Chordata; Mammalia; Primates; Cercopithecidae. The record is from RNAcentral.